RNAcentral lists this ribosomal RNA (1556 nucleotides) under Salmonella enterica subsp. enterica serovar Krefeld str. SA20030536. Its description in RNAcentral is "bacterial SSU rRNA". It matches the Rfam family "Bacterial small subunit ribosomal RNA". Lineage: Bacteria; Pseudomonadati; Pseudomonadota; Gammaproteobacteria; Enterobacterales; Enterobacteriaceae. The record is from RNAcentral.
UUAAAUUGAAGAGUUUGAUCAUGGCUCAGAUUGAACGCUGGCGGCAGGCCUAACACAUGCAAGUCGAACGGUAACAGGAAGCAGCUUGCUGCUUCGCUGACGAGUGGCGGACGGGUGAGUAAUGUCUGGGAAACUGCCUGAUGGAGGGGGAUAACUACUGGAAACGGUGGCUAAUACCGCAUAACGUCGCAAGACCAAAGAGGGGGACCUUCGGGCCUCUUGCCAUCAGAUGUGCCCAGAUGGGAUUAGCUUGUUGGUGAGGUAACGGCUCACCAAGGCGACGAUCCCUAGCUGGUCUGAGAGGAUGACCAGCCACACUGGAACUGAGACACGGUCCAGACUCCUACGGGAGGCAGCAGUGGGGAAUAUUGCACAAUGGGCGCAAGCCUGAUGCAGCCAUGCCGCGUGUAUGAAGAAGGCCUUCGGGUUGUAAAGUACUUUCAGCGGGGAGGAAGGUGUUGUGGUUAAUAAGCACAGCAAUUGACGUUACCCGCAGAAGAAGCACCGGCUAACUCCGUGCCAGCAGCCGCGGUAAUACGGAGGGUGCAAGCGUUAAUCGGAAUUACUGGGCGUAAAGCGCACGCAGGCGGUCUGUCAAGUCGGAUGUGAAAUCCCCGGGCUCAACCUGGGAACUGCAUUCGAAACUGGCAGGCUUGAGUCUUGUAGAGGGGGGUAGAAUUCCAGGUGUAGCGGUGAAAUGCGUAGAGAUCUGGAGGAAUACCGGUGGCGAAGGCGGCCCCCUGGACAAAGACUGACGCUCAGGUGCGAAAGCGUGGGGAGCAAACAGGAUUAGAUACCCUGGUAGUCCACGCCGUAAACGAUGUCUACUUGGAGGUUGUGCCCUUGAGGCGUGGCUUCCGGAGCUAACGCGUUAAGUAGACCGCCUGGGGAGUACGGCCGCAAGGUUAAAACUCAAAUGAAUUGACGGGGGCCCGCACAAGCGGUGGAGCAUGUGGUUUAAUUCGAUGCAACGCGAAGAACCUUACCUGGUCUUGACAUCCACAGAACUUUCCAGAGAUGGAUUGGUGCCUUCGGGAACUGUGAGACAGGUGCUGCAUGGCUGUCGUCAGCUCGUGUUGUGAAAUGUUGGGUUAAGUCCCGCAACGAGCGCAACCCUUAUCCUUUGUUGCCAGCGGUUAGGCCGGGAACUCAAAGGAGACUGCCAGUGAUAAACUGGAGGAAGGUGGGGAUGACGUCAAGUCAUCAUGGCCCUUACGACCAGGGCUACACACGUGCUACAAUGGCGCAUACAAAGAGAAGCGACCUCGCGAGAGCAAGCGGACCUCAUAAAGUGCGUCGUAGUCCGGAUUGGAGUCUGCAACUCGACUCCAUGAAGUCGGAAUCGCUAGUAAUCGUGGAUCAGAAUGCCACGGUGAAUACGUUCCCGGGCCUUGUACACACCGCCCGUCACACCAUGGGAGUGGGUUGCAAAAGAAGUAGGUAGCUUAACCUUCGGGAGGGCGCUUACCACUUUGUGAUUCAUGACUGGGGUGAAGUCGUAACAAGGUAACCGUAGGGGAACCUGCGGUUGGAUCACCUCCUUACCUUAAAGAAGC